GUAUCCUUGGGGAUUUAUUUGAUGGUAUUAUUUCUUUGUUUCUUACUCCUAUUUGUAUUGUUUGGGGUUAUAACUUGCUGGGGUAGUUUCUUGUAAUCUACUCCUGCAUUAUUGCCCCUAUCACUAUACCUACUGUGUGAAUCGAACCCACAACCAGAUCUGAUUUCUGAACCAUUGUCCAGAUCUGUUUCAGCCAUCUAUUCUCAACAUAUUUCCUGAUUACUUGGUCUGUUAUUGGGUGUUUCUAAGAGUUCUAGGAUCUAGGAACUCAGUCCUAAAGUUUCAUUGGAUUUGGGAGGUUGAGAGGAGAGUUUGAUCAAUUUUUCUCAACCCAGCUCUUCCACAACUGGUUGCUGUUCAUGUUGUAAGAUUGAAGAUGACAUAUUCUUCUAUUUACACAAAAGGACAACUCAUUGUAAAAUUGUUCAAAAACUCCAUGUUUCUGAAUUUAUUUUAGGGAAUAGGCUGGGUAUGCUAGCUGUAUACCCAAAUCUGUCUAUCUCUCCCCGUCUCCCUUUGGAAAAGUCCCCUAUGCCCCUCAUAUCCCAACCCUUCCAUUGGUUGAGCUGUUAGCUUCAGGAAAGCCGGCGGCAUACCUUACCUCCUCCCUUUAUUUUGUUUCACCCCUUACCCUGAUUUUGAUUCCAGGAAACUCCAUCUUUUCGAUUUCAAUUUAUAGUUUAUUCCUUUCACUUGUUAUCUCACUCUUAAGGAUCUAAAUUGUUCCAUUAUUUACAAAAUUGCCACUCAUUCGUGUACUUGUGAAUUUCAUUACUUUAGUGGAUCCAUCAUAGUGAUCCAAAAGCAGGGUUUUGUGAACUGGGGUUGCAUUCAGGAUUUGAGGUUACCGUUGAAGCAUCAAAACCUGAUCACCAUUCACCCCUAAAGUCGAGCACAGAAGCAGCAAGGUUUUUUCCUCCAAAUGAUCUUAUGGUUUUAUCAUUGUUCAUUUGAAAGAAGAUUGAUGGAUGAUGUACUAAAAUGUCAGGGGUUGGAACAUGCCCAAGUCCCGUUGCAUUUUUCAGUGCAAUGUUCUGAUGAAAUGAGGAGCUUAUCUAGACACCUGAGGAUGGGAGGACCUGUUAAGUAAUGUCUAACUGGGUCCCUUAUGGUAGGUCUAUUUUUUAAUUUCUGUUGAAGGGAGUUCCUGAAUGCCUUCAUUGCAAAGGAGGUUUCACAUUAUUAACCUAAGAUGCUUGAACAACAAUGAACUUGGUGUCUUUUUUGUAUUGUUAUACUGAGAGCAAGGAAGUAAUGGAAUAUAUUAGAGGGAAGAGGAUCAGGAACUGAUUGUUGAUGAAACUCAAAAUUUUAGUAGUUGUAGU
Molecule: long non-coding RNA, 1325 nt
Organism: Macadamia integrifolia
Lineage: Eukaryota; Viridiplantae; Streptophyta; Magnoliopsida; Proteales; Proteaceae
Exons: 3
Source: RefSeq, a predicted model, not a curated record